CCUCCAGACACCUAAAUCUUUCCUUAAAUCCAGAGAAGACUUGAAAAAAACUGCUGGAAAUGUUAGUUUUCCUUGAGUUCUAGCUUUGGGAUGCAUUUGGGAAGACUCAGACCCAGUCAUAUAGUUACAUAUCAUUCAAAGGUAUCAUAGUCUUGUAAUUUCUUGAGUAAAAAUCGUUCAAAUCGUUCGAAACGCUUAUUAAUUCUUACAAUUUUCAGUGAACAAAACUUGUGA
Bradysia coprophila is the source of this 234-nucleotide long non-coding RNA. The record is from RefSeq and is a predicted model, not a curated record. NCBI's taxonomy places the organism in Eukaryota, Metazoa, Arthropoda, Insecta, Diptera, Sciaridae.